UGGUAGACCUGGAAGGCAACCCACCAUUUGCAGCAAGGUGAUAUUGGGUACUGAGGUGUGUCAGGAGGAGGUCUGUCUCAAUAUUCAAAGCUUUUGUGAAGAAUUUGCACUGGACUAAGUAUUGCCGUGGACUGAAGGAAUGACCAGAUAGCCCUGUGACUAGUCGUAGU
This is a long non-coding RNA of Fundulus heteroclitus (mummichog), 170 nucleotides long. RefSeq lists it as uncharacterized. The record is from RefSeq and is a predicted model, not a curated record. The transcript is spliced from 3 exons. Lineage: Eukaryota; Metazoa; Chordata; Actinopteri; Cyprinodontiformes; Fundulidae.